Molecule: non-coding RNA, 72 nt
Organism: Danio rerio (zebrafish)
Lineage: Eukaryota; Metazoa; Chordata; Actinopteri; Cypriniformes; Danionidae
Source: Rfam
GCUGUGAUUGUAUAGUGAUUAAUACUCUGCGUUGUGGCCGCAGCAACCCCGCUUCGAAUCUGCGUCACGGCA